This 218-nucleotide unclassified non-coding RNA is filed under the name Hevea brasiliensis (rubber tree). The record is from RNAcentral. Lineage: Eukaryota; Viridiplantae; Streptophyta; Magnoliopsida; Malpighiales; Euphorbiaceae.
GGGGGGGCAGACGCCGCCUCUUCUAUUUCGCUUUCCGCCGUCGUGUUCCUCCGGUGUUAGCCAACGGCUUGUAUUCUCAAUAUCCUCUUAACGCCCUCCAUCUUUUGAUUUCCGAUUAUAUUAACUCAAUUUGAUCUCUACGACUGCUGAAUUUCUUCAUUUGCAUUUUGCUUGAUUCAUCUUCUUUUUUCGUUUCUGAAUUGGUGUUUGGUUUUGUU